UAAUACGGAGGGUGCAAGCGUUAAUCGGAAUUACUGGGCGUAAAGCGUACGCAGGCUGUCAAGUCAGUCAGAUGUGAAAGCCCCGGGCUUAACCUGGGAACUGCAUUUGAUACUGCUUGACUAGAAUCUGGUAGAGGGUAGUGGAAUUCCAUGUGUAGCGGUGAAAUGCGUAGAUAUGUGGAGGAACAUCAGUGGCGAAGGCGGCUACCUGGACCAAGAUUGACGCUGAGGUACGAAAGCGUGGGGAGCGAACAGGAUUAGAUACCCUGGUAGUCCACGCCGUAAACGAUGUCAACUAGUCGUUGGGUUCUUUAAUGAACUUAGUGACGCAGCUAACGCAGUAAGUUGACCGCCUGGGGAGUACGGCCGCAAGGCUA
RNAcentral lists this ribosomal RNA (377 nucleotides) under uncultured Pseudomonadota bacterium. Its description in RNAcentral is "bacterial SSU rRNA". It matches the Rfam family "Bacterial small subunit ribosomal RNA", at positions 521 to 896 of the family's 1533-position model. Lineage: Bacteria; Pseudomonadati; Pseudomonadota. The record is from RNAcentral.